RNAcentral lists this ribosomal RNA (127 nucleotides) under uncultured bacterium. RNAcentral's name for it is "partial 16S ribosomal RNA". The record is from RNAcentral.
CGUCAAGACGAGAAACUAUUCGCCCCUCGCUUUUCUUCACUCCUGAAAGUGCUUUACAACCCUAAGGCCUUCUUCACACACGCGGCAUGGCUGGAUCAGGCUUGCGCCCAUUGUCCAAUAUUCCCGA